AACGAACGCUGGCGGCAUGCCUAACACAUGCAAGUCGAACGAGACCUUCGGGUCUAGUGGCGCACGGGUGCGUAACGCGUGGGAACCUGCCCUUAGGUUCGGAAUAACUCCCCGAAAGGGGUGCUAAUACCGGAUAAUGUCUUCGGACCAAAGAUUUAUCGCCUUUGGAUGGGCCCGCGUUGGAUUAGCUAGUUGGUAGGGUAAAAGCCUACCAAGGCGACGAUCCAUAGCUGGUCUGAGAGGAUGAUCAGCCACACUGGGACUGAGACACGGCCCAGACUCCUACGGGAGGCAGCAGUGGGGAAUAUUGGACAAGGGGCGAAAGCCUGAUCCGGCAAUGCCGCGUGAGUGAUGAAGGCCUUAGGGUUGUAAAGCUCUUUUACCCGGGAUGAUAAUGACAGUACCGGGAGAAUAAGCUCCGGCUAACUCCGUG
Molecule: ribosomal RNA, 433 nt
Filed under: uncultured bacterium
Lineage: Bacteria
Description: partial 16S ribosomal RNA
Rfam family: Bacterial small subunit ribosomal RNA
Source: RNAcentral